Molecule: ribosomal RNA, 311 nt
Filed under: uncultured eukaryote
Lineage: Eukaryota
Description: partial 18S ribosomal RNA
Rfam family: Eukaryotic small subunit ribosomal RNA
Source: RNAcentral
CCCCUAGACGUUCUGGGCUGCACGCGCGCUACAAUAAUACGCACAGCGAGUAUCACCGAGCUCGAAAGGGCAAGGUAAACAAUAGAAAAGGUACUGUAAUGGUUAUAGAUCCUUGUAAUUAUUGAUCUUCAACGAGGAAUUCCUAGUAAGUAUGUGUCAUCAUCACGCACUGAUUACGUCCCUGCCCUUUGUAACCACCGCCCGUCGCUCCUACCGAUUGGGUGAGCCGAUGAAACUCUCGGAUGUAGGCUAUUCAUAGCCCGCAGAAGAGAUUUGAAUCGUAGCGCUUAGAGGAAGGAGAAGUCGUAACA